RNAcentral lists this transfer RNA (67 nucleotides) under Marmota monax (woodchuck). Its description in RNAcentral is "tRNA.Ala". It matches the Rfam family "tRNA". From Rfam's summary of the family: Transfer RNA (tRNA) molecules are approximately 80 nucleotides in length. Their secondary structure includes four short double-helical elements and three loops (D, anti-codon, and T loops). Further hydrogen bonds mediate the characteristic L-shaped molecular structure. tRNAs have two regions of fundamental functional importance: the anti-codon, which is responsible for specific mRNA codon recognition, and the 3' end, to which the tRNAs corresponding amino acid is attached (by aminoacyl-tRNA synthetases). tRNAs cope with the degeneracy of the genetic code in two manners: having more than one tRNA (with a specific anti-codon) for a particular amino acid; and 'wobble' base-pairing, i.e. permitting non-standard base-pairing at the 3rd anti-codon position. The record is from RNAcentral. Lineage: Eukaryota; Metazoa; Chordata; Mammalia; Rodentia; Sciuridae.
GGUUGUGGCUCAGUGGUAAAGCGUUUGCCUAGCAUGCAUGAGGCACUGGGUUCGAUUCUCAGCACCA